This 809-nucleotide non-coding RNA is filed under the name Sphinx ligustri. The record is from RNAcentral. Lineage: Eukaryota; Metazoa; Arthropoda; Insecta; Lepidoptera; Sphingidae.
AAAAAUUCUAUGUUAAAAAAUUAACUAAUAAAUAAAUUUUUUAUGGUUUAAUAAUUUUAUUAUAAAUUUAUUUUACAUAUAAAUUUUAGUGUUAAUUAUUGUUUAUUUAAAUAGUAAAUAAUUUUUAUAGUAGUAAUUAAUUUUAAAAAUUUAAGAAAUUAAGAUUUAGUAAUAUAAAAAUUAAUAACUAAUUUUGUGCCAGCAGUUGCGGUUAUACAAAGAUUGAUUUAAAAUUUUUUAGUAAUUAAUAAGUAAUUAUAAUCAUUUAAUAAUAUAAAAAUUAAAUUAUUAAGUGAAAUUUUAAUUUGAUAAAAAAUUAUUUUUAAAUUAUGAUUUAAUAAAUUUAAUAAAAAACUAGGAUUAGAUACCCUAUUAUUAAAAUUUAAAAUUAUUACACUAAAAUAGUAGGUAAUUUUUUAUUGAAACUUAAAUAAUUUGGCGGUAUUUUAGUUCAUUUAGAGGAAUCUGUUUAAUAAUUGAUAAUCCACGAAUAAAUUUACUUAAUUUAAAAUUUUGUAUAUCGUUGUUAAAAAAAUAUUUUUUAAUAAAAAUAAUAUUUAAAAAUUUAAAAUUAAAAUUAAAUCAGAUCAAGAUGCAGAUUAUAAUUAAGAAUAUAAUGGAUUACAAUAAAUUUAUUUAAUUGGAUUUUAAUAUGAAAUAGUUAAAUGAAAUUGGAUUUAAAUGUAAUUUUAUUUAAUUUAAUAAGAUGAUUAAAUAUUAAAAUAUGUACAUAUUGCCCGUCGCUUUCAUUUAUAAAUUGAAAUAAGUCGUAACAAAGUAGAGGUACUGGAAAGUGUUUCUAGAAAGAU